GAUGAACGCUGGCGGUAUGCUUAACACAUGCAAGUCGAACGGACUCUUCGGAGUUAGUGGCGGACGGGUGUGUAACGCGUGAGAAUCUGGCUUUGGGUUCGGGACAACCACUGGAAACGGUGGCUAAUACCGGAUGUGCCGAGAGGUAAAAGAGAAAUUGCCUGAAGAUGAGCUCGCGUAUGAUUAGCUAGUUGGUGAGGUAAAGGCUCACCAAGGCAGCGAUCAGUAGCUGGUCUGAGAGGAUGACCAGCCACACUGGGACUGAGACACGGCCCAGACGCCUACGGGAGGAAGCAGUGGGGAAUUAUCCGCAAUGGGCGAAAGACUGACGGAGCAAUACCGCGUGAGGGAAGAAGGCUCUUGGGUUGUAAAACUCUUUUCUUAGGGAAGAACAAAAUGACGGUACCUAAGGAAUCAGCAUCGGCUAACUCCGUG
This 435-nucleotide ribosomal RNA is filed under the name uncultured bacterium. RNAcentral's name for it is "partial 16S ribosomal RNA". It matches the Rfam family "Bacterial small subunit ribosomal RNA", at positions 28 to 507 of the family's 1533-position model. The record is from RNAcentral.